RNAcentral lists this ribosomal RNA (831 nucleotides) under Hypomyces sp. KP-2022a. Its description in RNAcentral is "partial large subunit ribosomal RNA". It matches the Rfam family "Eukaryotic large subunit ribosomal RNA", at positions 82 to 941 of the family's 3401-position model. Lineage: Eukaryota; Fungi; Ascomycota; Sordariomycetes; Hypocreales; Hypocreaceae. The record is from RNAcentral.
AGUACCGGCGAGUGAAGCGGCAACAGCUCAAAUUUGAAAUCUGGUCCUCACGGGCCCGAGUUGUAAUUUGUAGAGGAUGCUUUUGGUGAGGCACCGCCCCGAGUUCCCUGGAACGGGACGCCGCAGAGGGUGAGAGCCCCGUCUGGCUGGCUGCCGAGCCUUUGUAAAGCUCCUUCGACGAGUCGAGUAGUUUGGGAAUGCUGCUCAAAAUGGGAGGUAUAUGUCUUCUAAAGCUAAAUACCGGCCAGAGACCGAUAGCGCACAAGUAGAGUGAUCGAAAGAUGAAAAGCACUUUGAAAAGAGGGUUAAAUAGUACGUGAAAUUGUUGAAAGGGAAGCGCUCAUGACCAGACUUGGGCUUGGCGAAUCAUCCAGCGUUCUCGCUGGUGCACUUCGCCUCGUCCAGGCCAGCAUCAGUUCGCUUCGGGGGAUAAAGGCUUUGGGAACGUGGCUCCUCCGGGAGUGUUAUAGCCCAUUGUGUAAUACCCUGAGGUGGACUGAGGUUCGCGCAUCUGCAAGGAUGCUGGCGUAAUGGUCAUCAGCGACCCGUCUUGAAACACGGACCAAGGAGUCGUCUUCGUAUGCGAGUGUUCGGGUGUAAAACCCCUACGCGUAAUGAAAGUGAACGCAGGUGAGAGCUUCGGCGCAUCAUCGACCGAUCCUGAUGUUCUCGGAUGGAUUUGAGUAAGAGCAUACGGGGCCGGACCCGAAAGAAGGUGAACUAUGCCUGUAUAGGGUGAAGCCAGAGGAAACUCUGGUGGAGGCUCGCAGCGGUUCUGACGUGCAAAUCGAUCGUCAAAUAUGGGCAUGGGGGCGAAAGACUAAUCGAACC